RNAcentral lists this ribosomal RNA (287 nucleotides) under Minutocellus polymorphus. RNAcentral's name for it is "partial Bacterial large subunit ribosomal RNA". It matches the Rfam family "Bacterial large subunit ribosomal RNA", at positions 1 to 305 of the family's 2925-position model. The record is from RNAcentral. Lineage: Eukaryota; Bacillariophyta; Thalassiosirophyceae; Cymatosirales; Cymatosiraceae.
CAAAUGAAGAAAAGCUUAUGGUGGAUACCUAGGCACCUAGAGACGAUGAAGGGCGUAGAAACCAACGAAAUGCUUCGAGGAGCUGGAAACAAGCUACGAUUCGAAGAUUCCCGAAUAGGGCAACCUUUUAAACUACCUAAUAAAUUCAUAAAUAGGAAAGAGAUAACCUAGUGAAUUGAAACAUCUUAGUAGCUAGAGGAAAAGAAAGCAAACGCGAUUCCCUUAGUAGCGGCGAGCGAAAUGGGAACAGUCUAAACCAAAACAAUUUCUGUUUUGGGGUUGUGGGA